Molecule: ribosomal RNA, 573 nt
Filed under: Amanita sp.
Lineage: Eukaryota; Fungi; Basidiomycota; Agaricomycetes; Agaricales; Amanitaceae
Description: LSU rRNA
Rfam family: Eukaryotic large subunit ribosomal RNA
Source: RNAcentral
UCCCCUAGUAACUGCGAGUGAAGCGGGAAAAGCUCAAAUUUAAAAUCUGGCAGUCUCUCUUUUUUUCUUUGGCUGUCCGAGUUGUAAUCUAGAGAAGUGCUUACCCGUGCUGGACCAUGUAUAAGUCUCCUGGAAUGGAGCGUCAUAGAGGGUGAGAAUCCCGUCUUNGACAUGGACUUGCCAGUGCAUAGUGGUGUGCUCUCAAAGAGUCGAGUUGUUUGGGAAUGCAGCUCUAAAUGGGUGGUAAACUCCAUCUAAAGCUAAAUAUUGGCGAGAGACCGAUAGCGAACAAGUACCGUGAGGGAAAGAUGAAAAGGACUUUGGAAAGAGAGUUAAACAGUAUGUGAAAUUGUUGAAAGGGAAACACUUGAAGUCAGUNGUGUCUGCUUAGGGAUCAACUCANCUCAUUUUGCUGGGUGAACUUCCUAGUGUGACAGGCCAACAUCAGUUCUGACUGUUGGAAAAGAGCNGAGGGAAUGUGGCACCUUUGGGUGUGUUAUAGCCUUUUGUCAUAUAUAGCAGUNGGGACUGAGGAAUUGCAGCGCGCCGCNAGGCAGGGUCUUUGACCACGUU